Molecule: non-coding RNA, 1539 nt
Organism: Pocillopora verrucosa
Lineage: Eukaryota; Metazoa; Cnidaria; Anthozoa; Scleractinia; Pocilloporidae
Source: RefSeq, a predicted model, not a curated record
CAGCGAUUUUGCAACUAAGAUCUGUAUGUUUUGGUGCCUAUUAGCCUGUGUCAGGGCUCCUGCCUGUGCCUAAUAGCUAAGAAGGCCGUACGCACGUGCGCUACGUUAUGGUGUCGAGUGUACUUAACACAGGUUCUGCUCUUGUAAAUCCUUCUCGUGACCACGAAAAUAACCGCCAGUUGUUGGUACACUUCGUGAUACAUACACAUUCAGGUAGCCGCAUUGCACAAAAUGGCGGAUGAAUAACAGCACACCACCUUUUCGAAUAUUUCCCGCCGUUCACGAAAAUGAAUUAAGCGAGAGGAAUAAAAGAAGAGGCCGGUGCAAUUUUUCGCAGUUUUUGCCAAAGAAGAUUAGACGUAGGGGAUCGAAGAAGACAUCUGAUUUGAGUACUACGGUCACCACCUCGACUGGUCAAGGUGAUUUCGAAAAUCCUUCUCAUCAGGCGUUGCAACCUAGACCAAUUUUACAUGCUUUGCUGGAAGCCAAAUAUGUGAUUGUUGAAAGAGAACCCAGGGAUAACAUUUGGAUCUAUCAUUGCAAAUUUGUUGAAGGCACAAGGCAAACAGAUUAUUUUCAGUCACUGUCAUCAACAGUCACAGGAGAAAGUUUAACUGCAGCUAGUUCUGUUUAUGGGAAUUGCAUCCAUAUUGAAGCCACUGAAAAGUUGAUGGAAAGCUUUGAAAGGGAAAACAACGUCACCCCUUCACUUGCCAGAGACACAUAUUCUCAUGAUCACACUUACCAAGAGGAACAUCAUGACUUGUUGCCUUUGAAUGGGAAUAAUUUUACAAUUUUUGUAUGUGGAAAUAAACAGCAUGGAGUAGUUGGCCUCCAAGUUGCACUUAUCACUUGCUUUUUCUGUGAUCACCAGCGUCACAACUGUGGACAUGUAACAAAAGUAGCAGAAUCUGAGGAAAUAAUGGGACACAAAAUGCAUGAUUUUCUGGUCGAUUUUUUUGCUGAGAGAAAUUUUCAAGAGUCUACUGAAUCAGUUGCAGCAGCCACCACUCAUAAAGAGUGGAAAAUAAGAUCAGUAUCUUGUAAAAAAAAUACUAUUCCAUCUAUCAACAACACAAAAAAAAGUAUUCUCUCUGGAAGAUGUUCUUUGUGGCAAAAUGUCAACUACUGAUUUGGUGCUGCUUACUCCCAACUUGUCUCCCUCCUGCCCAAAGUGUUCAUCGCAGUGCAUUAGUCAGACUACACAAGCUUUGUGCUUUUUGAAAAAGCAGACAUGGCAAUGUGAAGGUGCACUCUAUUUACAUACCACGGUGUCUGGCAAGAGAUCAUGGCUGAUGCACAUGUAUUGGACUUCAAGAGGAUGUUAUUGUACUACCACUGGCGUUUUGCUUGCUGCAGUUUCCUGAACCUUCUUGACAUAAACUAUGAAGAAGGUUUUUGUUGUGCCAUCUGUGGCAAAGAUAACAGUCUGCACACUGUCAUUUGUGAUGCUAAAGCACUAUCCUUCAGACAAGAGCUUUGUACUUCUCUGAAGUCUACUUAUUCAUCACCGAGUCCAUCGACUGUACCAUGAGAAAC